Molecule: ribosomal RNA, 496 nt
Filed under: uncultured bacterium
Lineage: Bacteria
Description: partial 16S ribosomal RNA
Rfam family: Bacterial small subunit ribosomal RNA
Source: RNAcentral
GAUGAACGCUGGCGGCGUGCCUAAUACAUGCAAGUCGAGCGAACGGACGAGAAGCUUGCUUCUCUGAUGUUAGCGGCGGACGGGUGAGUAACACGUGGAUAACCUACCUAUAAGACUGGGAUAACUUCGGGAAACCGGAGCUAAUACCGGAUAAUAUUUUGAACCGCAUGGUCCAAAAGUGAAAGACGGUCUUGCUGUCACUUAUAGAUGGAUCCGCGCUGCAUUAGCUAGUUGGUAAGGUAACGGCUUACCAAGGCAACGAUGCAUAGCCGACCUGAGAGGGUGAUCGGCCACACUGGAACUGAGACACGGUCCAGACUCCUACGGGAGGCAGCAGUAGGGAAUCUUCCGCAAUGGGCGAAAGCCUGACGGAGCAACGCCGCGUGAGUGAUGAAGGUCUUCGGAUCGUAAAACUCUGUUAUUAGGGAAGAACAUAUGUGUAAGUAACUGUGCACAUCUUGACGGUACCUAAGCAGAAAGCCACGGCUAACUACGU